This 397-nucleotide ribosomal RNA is filed under the name Wolbachia endosymbiont of Phyllonorycter platani. RNAcentral's name for it is "bacterial SSU rRNA". It matches the Rfam family "Bacterial small subunit ribosomal RNA", at positions 1012 to 1407 of the family's 1533-position model. The record is from RNAcentral. Lineage: Bacteria; Pseudomonadati; Pseudomonadota; Alphaproteobacteria; Rickettsiales; Anaplasmataceae.
GGGUCGGUUCGGCCGGAUUUUACACAAGUGUUGCAUGGCUGUCGUCAGCUCGUGUCGUGAGAUGUUGGGUUAAGUCCCGCAACGAUCGCAACCCUCAUCCUUAGUUGCUAUCAGGUAAUGCUGAGUACUUUAAGGAAACUGCCAGUGAUAAGCUGGAGGAAGGUGGGGAUGAUGUCAAGUCAUCAUGGCCUUUAUGGAGUGGGCUACACACGUGCUACAAUGGUGUCUACAAUGGGCUGCAAGGUGCGCAAGCCUAAGCUAAUCCCUAAAAGACAUCUCAGUUCGGAUUGUACUCUGCAACUCGAGUACAUGAAGUUGGAAUCGCUAGUAAUCGUGGAUCAGCAUGCCACGGUGAAUACGUUCUCGGGUCUUGUACACACUGCCCGUCACGCCAUGG